This 24-nucleotide non-coding RNA is filed under the name Arabidopsis thaliana (thale cress). The record is from RNAcentral. Lineage: Eukaryota; Viridiplantae; Streptophyta; Magnoliopsida; Brassicales; Brassicaceae.
ACUCGAUCCCAAGCUCAAGUAGUA